This 492-nucleotide ribosomal RNA is filed under the name uncultured bacterium. RNAcentral describes it as "partial 16S ribosomal RNA". It matches the Rfam family "Bacterial small subunit ribosomal RNA", at positions 29 to 507 of the family's 1533-position model. The record is from RNAcentral.
AGUGAACGCUGGCGGUAGGCCUAACACAUGCAAGUCGAACGGCAGCACAGUAAGAGCUUGCUCUUACGGGUGGCGAGUGGCGGACGGGUGAGGAAUACAUCGGAAUCUACUUUUUCGUGGGGGAUAACGUAGGGAAACUUACGCUAAUACCGCAUACGACCUACGGGUGAAAGCAGGGGAUCUUCGGACCUUGCGCGAUUGAAUGAGCCGAUGUCGGAUUAGCUAGUUGGCGGGGUAAAGGCCCACCAAGGCGACGAUCCGUAGCUGGUCUGAGAGGAUGAUCAGCCACACUAGAACUGAGACACGGUCCAGACUCCUACGGGAGGCAGCAGUGGGGAAUAUGGGACAAUGGGCGCAAGCCUGAUCCAGCCAUACCGCGUGGGUGAAGAAGGCCUUCGGGUUGUAAAGCCCUUUUGUUGGGAAAGAAAAGCAGCAGGUUAAUACCCCGCUGUUCUGACGGUACCCAAAGAAUAAGCACCGGCUAACUUCGUG